GGAGGGGUUCCCGAGCGGUCAAAGGGGGCAGACUGUAAAUCUGUUGGCUCAGCCUUCGAAGGUUCGAAUCCUUCUCUCCCCACCA
Molecule: transfer RNA, 85 nt
Filed under: Gammaproteobacteria bacterium
Lineage: Bacteria; Pseudomonadati; Pseudomonadota; Gammaproteobacteria
Description: tRNA-Tyr
Rfam family: tRNA
About the family: Transfer RNA (tRNA) molecules are approximately 80 nucleotides in length.
Source: RNAcentral